This 180-nucleotide unclassified non-coding RNA is filed under the name uncultured Tomentella. RNAcentral describes it as "sequence contains ITS1". Lineage: Eukaryota; Fungi; Basidiomycota; Agaricomycetes; Thelephorales; Thelephoraceae. The record is from RNAcentral.
CCGAACCGUCAACACGAGUUGUUGCUGGUCCUCGUAUGGGGUCACGUGCACGCUCUGUUCACACAUCCACUCACACCUGUGCACCUUCUGCCGUUCUGUGGCUUGGGGGGCGUUUGCGUUUUUAUACAGACCACCACAUGUGUAGAAUGUCUUACUAUUUGCGAUAAUGCGCAAUCAAUA